GAACGCUCACGCAGAGCUCAACGCCAUGAAGGAAGAGGCUGAGAAGAGCAAGCGGCGGCAGGAGGUGGGUGCCCAUGGGCGCCAUCUUGAAAAACCCAUCUGGCCACCACGCUGCUCCGCUUGGAUUUCAGAAGGGAAGCAGAGUAGUGUUUAGAAACGAUGUGUCGAGGUGUCCUGCUCACUCCUUCCUUCCUUCCAUGUAUCCAUCAUCCACUCCUUCCUUCCUUCCUUGUAUCCAUCAUCCACUCCUUCCUUCCUUCCUUCCUUCCUUCCUUCCUUCCUUCCUUCCUUCCUUCCUUCCUGCGGUUGAGAGGAUUAUGGGUGGUAUCCUGAGAUUAUUUUAAAACCUACCUACCUACCUACCUACCUACCUACCUACCUACCUACCUACCUACCUACCUACCUACCUACCUACCUACCUACCUACCUACCUACCUACCUACCUACCUACCAUUUUUACCCCACAUUUCUCUAAUGAAGGCAAAAGGCAGAACGCAAGGACACGCAGCAGUCACCGGCAGACACCUGCAUGACUCUUGCACUUCUACAUGGUCAGAUUUUUGAGAAACCAGGUGCCGGACUCUCGUAGCAUCUCACACCUCACCUUUGAGAGGUGUCGUAUGAGACAGGUCAGCUUGCUUGAACCAAGGUGCCCCUGAGUUGACCGUGACCAACGCGUGACUUCCCAAAAUGUUGUCGGAACAGCGGUGAUCUCUCCCUAUGUGGUCUGGGCCCGGUUUGAGCCGCCAGCCGGCGCUCCCGACCAGAAGCAAGAGGAUGGUGGCCCUGAGUGGGGUUUGCUGGAGGCCCUUUUGCUUUCCGGGGGUGGGCCCUCAGCAGAUGCCUCCGUGGACUGCCACUGAACGCCUCGCUCUCCUCCCCGCGCAGGCCAUCUUGUCCGAGAAGGAUCGGGAGCUCUUGAGGUUGCGUGCGACCAUCUCUGCUUUAGAGGCUGAGCUGUGUGACAUGGAAAGGCUGCAGGGGGAAUACAAGCACCAGCUGGAGAGGCAGCAGGAUGAGGCCUUGCGAGAGAAGGAGAAAGAAUUAUUGCAAUUGCGGGAGGCGCUGGAGUGUGAAAAGCAACAAGUACUGCAAGAGGUGCAGAGCACUCUGCUUCAGGAGAGAAAGAAGUGGGAAGCAGAAGCGAGGGCUGCCCUCCAGAUGCAGCGGGAGGCUCUGCUAGAGAAGGACCGGAGGAUGCAGGCUGACCUCCGGGUAGCCCUGGAGGAAGAGAGGAAAACUGCCCUUGCUUUGCGGGACGAAACAGCCAACCUCCACGCGGUAAGAAUCACGGAGACGAAAACCGCUCAGAAAGGGAGCCCCAUAAGACAGUUGGGGCCUUUGUCCAGACGUUCAAGCGCCGUGUCCCAAAAGGAGUUGCAGGGCAUCCUCGCAGAGCUUGGGAAAAUGGACUGCGUUGAACGACCGGCCCUGGGCAUCCCACAGCCACAAAAGGCAAGCUCUCCGAAGCUCUGCCGGUUCUCCCCCUUCUGCCCUGCGCCUGUGACACAUCCCCACAACCCUCUGUGGGUUGGAGGACAACAUUGUACAUUACGGAGCUGGCUCCACCUGGAUCUGGCUCCUGGCUCAUGUAAACCCCCGAGAUGA
This 1608-nucleotide long non-coding RNA is filed under the name Pogona vitticeps (central bearded dragon). RNAcentral's name for it is "lncRNA (ENSPVIG00000020995.1)". Lineage: Eukaryota; Metazoa; Chordata; Lepidosauria; Squamata; Agamidae. The record is from RNAcentral.